This is a long non-coding RNA of Tupaia belangeri chinensis (Chinese tree shrew), 412 nucleotides long. RefSeq lists it as uncharacterized. The transcript has 3 exons. NCBI's taxonomy places the organism in Eukaryota, Metazoa, Chordata, Mammalia, Scandentia, Tupaiidae. The record is from RefSeq and is a predicted model, not a curated record.
CUCCUAGUAAACCCUCUAUUCUGCUUUAGCACAUUAUUGGUAGAAAGACACAAGCCAUGGCUACAAGGAAAAAACCAAGAAAGAUUUCGAAGAUUUAGAAACUUGAGGCUGGAGUUUCUAAUAACCAAUUUUUGGACUCCCAGUUCAAGACUUGCUUCUUCCGAAUGAGCUUCUGAAAAGGUUUCCUUUAUAGACCCUGCAUCAGUGGUCAUGGAACAGGUGGCAGUGUGCUGCUCUGCAGUGCUGGAAGACACAUGGCUGACCGCUGGUUUGGAUCCCAAGCAGACCUGAAAACACUCCAGUUUGAAAGGCCCAAGAUCCUAUUUGGAGAGUUGAACAAAGUGGAGUGGUGUGACAAGACUCUGUCAGAGGUGUCUCUCCGUCUCUCUCUAUGUAUGCACUUUUUUUUUUG